This 88-nucleotide transfer RNA is filed under the name Hydrogenophaga sp. PBC. RNAcentral's name for it is "tRNA-Met". It matches the Rfam family "tRNA". Rfam says of the family: Transfer RNA (tRNA) molecules are approximately 80 nucleotides in length. Lineage: Bacteria; Pseudomonadati; Pseudomonadota; Betaproteobacteria; Burkholderiales; Comamonadaceae. The record is from RNAcentral.
GGGCCGGACGCCGUGUUGGUUGCAGGCAGCGGACUCAUAAUCCGCCGGAGAAAUCCCAUCCUCGGUUCGAAUCCGAGUCGGCCCACCA